CGGGGCAGAGCAGCCCCGUACUGGUAUCACAAGGGUUAACCCUUCCUUCCUAGCAGAGGAAGCCAUGCCCUUGAGGCUCUGCUGGGCAUGCGCCAACUGGAGAACAGGUAUAAAAGCCUGCAGAGCUGCUCAGUCUGGGCUGACCGCCGGAGGGGAAGGAGGCAUGCUGCCAGCUCCUGAUGAGGGACAGCCUGCGCUCCAGGAUCCUGAAGAUAGCCAAGCUGGGAUGCGCCCCCAUGCCCAGAUGGAGAUAAUGUAUGCCAUUUAUUAUGCCAUUGAUCCUGGAAGAGAUGUGGCUGUCUCCACUCAGAAUGUGUCAAGUAAUGCAAGAAAGACAACAAAUGGUAAAACAAAUACCCCUAUAGAGUGAGGCUGGGAACAUCCUCUGUUUCUUGGGGAGAAACAACAGAAUUUGAUUUCAUCCCGUAAACUUCUAACUUUUUUUUUCAACCAGAUAUUAAGGGGAGUUUCUACUCUUACUUAACACCAGUAGCACUAGUAGAAUCACUCCUGAUUUACAGAGGUCUAAAUGAAAUCAGAAUUGGACCUCAAAUCUGGGAUUUAAAACAUCGAUGCUGAGAAAGAAUUUAUGCCAAGACAGCAACACACAUUCACUGCAGUUAUUAAUGACUAAAACCCAGCAAAAUAUCAUGUAUCAAGCAUGUUUUUCCAUGGGGACUGCACAUUGAUAUGGUGGGAAUGUUCAUGUGCUUCGAAGACCCUGAGAACUAUGACUAUUGUCAUUUUUCAAAGAAGUUAUAGAAACACAACAAGUUAGCCCUUCUGAGAAACAGCAUGCCAAAGUAAUGGACUCUGUCUCAGCAGGAAUGAUGAAUCUUUGUGCAAGCAAUCAGGUCAAGGCUGAGAAGAUCUUUGCUAAAGGUAAAACAAACUGUAAAAGCAGGUUUCUGGAACACUAGAACAAUGGCUGCAAUGACAAAAGCUUUGCAGGAGAUGAAAGAAAUGGAUUAAUAUAAUCUUGAAAUCCUUGGAGUAAGCAGAAGUCAGUGGGACAGGAAUUGAUAAAAAGAUAUUCAUAAAUGCAGUAAAGUCAUAACAUAUUUGAGGAGGCAAAAUGGUUACCACCGAGACGGAGUAGUAUUAAUUAUGAUUUCCAAAGCUGAAAAAACACUUCGACUGAGGGCCAAUUAACAGCCAACUGCUCCAAGCUAGGUUUUAAACAUAAUACAUGAAUACAUAAUACAUACAGUGUUUUGCACCAAUAGACAACUCUGGUGACGAGAUCAAAGAUCAGUUCUACAAUUGCCUACAAACUCUGGUUGACAAUAUUCCCAAGCAUGACGUUUUCUUAGUAAUUGGGGGAUUCAUCGCCAAAGUUGGGGAUGACAACAAUGGAGUGGAGAAAGCAAUGGGCAUUGGUUCCCAAAAUCAGAACUGUGAAAGACUGUAGAUUCAUCAUGAUUCACCGGAACAUCUUGACGUGUUAUCGUAUUCCAGUAAAUAAUUAACUUUACCAAAGCUUUAAUUGUACAAACUGCACCUUGAUAUAAAGUGAACACAGACUAGAAUGAAUGGUUUAAUAUAAUACUGGUAUCAAACAAGGAUGCAUUCUCUCACCCCUCCUGUUGGGCAUUGAUAUUUACUUCGUUAUGAGUGUAGAUGAAUACAACACAAGCAUCACAUAGUUUAACAUACUAGAAGCUUUUGAUUUUGCUGACGACAUAGCUCUUCUAAA
This is a non-coding RNA of Chrysemys picta bellii (western painted turtle), 1696 nucleotides long. The record is from RefSeq and is a predicted model, not a curated record. NCBI's taxonomy places the organism in Eukaryota, Metazoa, Chordata, Testudines, Emydidae.